This 512-nucleotide ribosomal RNA is filed under the name uncultured bacterium. RNAcentral describes it as "bacterial SSU rRNA". It matches the Rfam family "Bacterial small subunit ribosomal RNA", at positions 15 to 518 of the family's 1533-position model. The record is from RNAcentral.
GAUCAUGGCUCAGGAUGAACGCUAGCGGCAGGCUUAACACAUGCAAGUCGAGGGGCAGCGGGAUGUAGCAAUACAUUGCCGGCGACCGGCGGAUGGGUGCGUAACGCGUAUGCAACCUACCUUAUACAGGGGAAUAACCUUUCGAAAGGGAGACUAACACCCCAUAGUAUUGAUUUAAGGCAUCUUAGAUUAAUUAAAUAUUUAUAGGUAUAAGAUGGGCAUGCGUAUGAUUAGCUAGUUGGUAAGGUAACGGCUUACCAAGGCGACGAUCAUUAGGGGUUCUGAGAGGAAGGUCCCCCACACUGGUACUGAGACACGGACCAGACUCCUACGGGAGGCAGCAGUGAGGAAUAUUGGUCAAUGGGCGCAAGCCUGAACCAGCCAUGCCGCGUGCCAGGAAGACGGCCUUAUGGGUUGUAAACUGUCUUUUACAUAAGACUAACCGUAUAUUUGCGAAUAUACCUGAAUGUAUUAUGAGAAUAAGGAUCGGCUAACUCCGUGCCAGCCGCCGC